UUUUUUUUUCUUUUUUUUUAGGGCUGCACCUGUGGCAUAUGGAAGUUCCCAGGCUAGGGGUCGAAUCAGAGCUACAGCUGCUGGCCUGCACUACAACCAUAGCAAUACCAGAUCCAAGCCAAGUCUUCAGCCUACACCACAGCAUGAGACAACCCCAGAUCUUUAACCCACUGAGUGAGGCCAAGGAUUGAAGCUGCAUCCUCAUGGAUGCUAAUCAUAUUCUUUUUUUUUUUUUUCAGGCCACACCCUCAGCAUAUAAAGGUUCCCAGGUGCAGUCCUAAAAAGACAAAAGACAAAAAAAUGAAUAAAUAAAUAAAGCAUAGUGGCUGGCGCAUCAGAAGUACCCUAUGCAGUAAACAACUACAGAGUUUUCCAACUACAAUUACUAUCAUUAUAUUUCUCUAUGGACAGUGUAAGCACUGUGAUUGCCGUAAAUCCUUGUUGAAUUAUUGAAUUUAUUAUGAUACAAGUGAGGUUACUGUCACAAAGAAACACCAAAAUGGCUAAAAUGAGAUACAAAUGCAUUUCUUUUUUUUUUUUUUUUUUUUUUUUUUUUUCCUUUUUUCUUUUUCUAGAGCUUCCCCUGCAGCAUAUGGAGGUUCCCAGGCUAGGGGUCAAAUAAGAGCUAGAGCCGCCGCCUAUACCACAGCCACCGCAAUGACAGAUCCAAGCCGAGUCUGUGACCUACACCACAGCUCACGGCAACACCGGAUCCUUAACCCACUGAGCAAGCCUGGGAAUCAGACCUGCAACCUCAUGGUUCCUAGUCAGAUUUGUUCCUGCUGCACCCCACAUCGGGAACUCCACAAAUGCAUUUCUCAUAUGACAGCCUGAGUGUUCACAUUCCAGAGCUGAUAUGGUGUCUCCCACAGCGUUGCCCUGAUCCACGUAGCUGAGAAAUACUCAACACCUUGUCUACUGCAAUUACAUUCUGGUCACCAAAAUCAGGAAAAAGGAGCAGUGGAAGGUUUAAGAACAAAAUCCCCAAGUUGUACACAUCACUUCUGCUUACAUCCCACUGACAAAAAGAUAAUUGCAAGGGAAAUCAGGAAAUGUAGGGUUUGUUCUCCAGCCCAUCUAUCACUAAAUCCCUCAAGCUGGGAGUUCUCUUGUGGUGCAGUGGGUUAAGGAUCCUGCAUUGUCACUGCUGUGGCACUGGUUCAGUCCCUGGCCUGGGAACUUCCACAUGCCAUGGGCAUGGCAGAGAGAAAGGGAGAGGCAGAGAGAAAUAAAUACCUCAAGCAGAAGGAGGGAAUGAAUGUUGAGAGAGCCAGCAGUCUGGGGCGUGAUGCUUCUAAACUUUGUCAAAUAAGCAGGAAUUACUUUUAAGCUGGAAAAAUAGAUCGUAUCUUUAAAUUACGUAAGAUUUUACAGUAAAGACAAAAAAAAGGGAUAUGGUUUUGGUGGCGUCGGAGGAACGUAGAAUCAGAUUCGGACCUACAAACUCCAGUGAUCUGGAUGUGGAAGAAAUAAGAGAUGCACUCACAGAAGCCAAUACCCAACGAAAUCAGGAUGUUAUGGGCGGGGAUUUGGAGGAGGAACACAUAACAAAGGAAAAUAUCAAGAAGGGGUCAUGGAUGUGAAAGGGGAGAUUCAGGAAGUCUACAGCACGCAGUACAGUGAGGUUUAACAACAAAAGGGGCUUUUAUUUUGUAUUGGGGGAGGGGGUAUUUUAAUGCUUAAUAGGAAGAGCCAGAAGAACAAGGAGGAGAUAAUCCCACUGCUUUGAGACCACAUGAUAUGAUGUGCUCAGACAACUGAAAGAAAACAGAAAUACCCCAUGUCUAUUUUGCUUGCAUUUUUCUCUAUCAAAGAAAAGGAUCCUCAAGCUAUAAAGAGUAAGGAAAAUAGCAGUAAGAGGAAAUUAAAGCCAAGGUGCAGCAGUAGAAAGCACCGAGUUACCUUAAAUGGGGUAAAAAAACCCUUUCAAUUCAGGUGCGUUCUAUUCCAGCAUACUUUGAAAGUGCUUUAGACUCUGACCCCAAAGCCUUUCUUACAGAUCUUUGAGAAAAUAUGUCAGAGGAGAUGACAUAAGACUAAAUGCGAAUAGCUGCUGUCUUCAGAUUCAUAAAAGGAAAAAAUAUAUAUUCCAGACACUAUACCCAGGGGAACUUGAUGUCUCUUCCCAGGAUGAUUUGUGACCAUGAAAAAAAGGUGAUUAUUUAAAGGCCUCAACUGGUUUGCCAAGCCCACUUCAUGCCAAAUGGACCUCAUUUCAUGUUGUUGGAAGAAUUAAUUGAUCCUCAGAAUAGGAUUAUAGCACAAACGGAAUAUAAUUUGAUUCCAACAAAGCAGCUGUCCCCGUGGUAUUAGUCAUGCCUCGGUCAGUUAAAAGCCAAGGCAGAAAGGUUGUUUAUUAGCCCACUGAAGAGGAAGGACCCUGAAGCAGCUCUCACAGUCAAAGGAUGAGCUGCAGAAACCAGGGUUCUCAAGGGACCAGAAGCAAAGCUCACUUCCCCAGGAGCCUUCCUGCUCCUGUCUCUGUCUGCUUCAUUCUGAGGUGACUUCACUUCUUGCUGUGGGAGGAUGGCUGCUGGCAGUCCCAUAUUCAUAUUUUCCAGGCUUGGCAACCCUACUGGAAAGAGAAAACUUUUUUUCCUUAUUGCAUUCACACAGAGUGACUUGUACCUUUAUUUUUACGUUUCUGUACUGCUUGAAUUUUUACCUUCUAAUGCCGAAUUAUUAAUAAAACAUUUCUAAAAAAAUGAAAUUCAUCAAUAUCAAUAUAAAAAGCAACAUGGACAGACGAUUGCUAACUUAACUUUUCUGCAAAUGUUGUACAUUUAGUUUGUUUUCAGAUCUUACUGUUAGAAAUAAAUCUACAAUCAACAUUUUGUACGUAAAUCUUAGUCCAUGCCUCUAAUGAUUAAUGUUUGGAGGGAGUUCUAGAAGUAGAAUUCCCGGGUGAAAUGUUUUAAAUGUUUACAGGUCUCUUGAUACAUGUUACUGUCUACAUUGCUUUCAAGAAACAGGCCUAUACCUCAAUAUCACAUUGAGAAGUUUUUUUGUUUUGAAGUUGUUUGUUUGGUUUUGGCCGUCCUGCGGCAACCGUCCUGCGGCAAAUGAAAUUCCUGGGCCGAGGAUCAUAUCUGAGCUGCAAUUUCCACCUACGCCACAGCUGCACAACAUAGGAGUCUUCCCCGCCAGGGAUCGAACCUGCAUCCCAGCACUCCCAAGAUGCUGCUGAUCCCCUUGUACCACAGCAGGAACUCUGAGGAGUGCUUUAAAAAAUUAAAAUAUAGGCCAAAAAACCUGACAUUCACAUUGUAAUUUUCUUCUUCUUUUUCUUUUCUGGCCACCCUGCAGCAUAGAGAAUUCCUGGGACAGGGAUCAGAUUCAAGCCAUAGUUGCAACCUAUGCCACAGCUGCAGCAACGCUGAAUCCUUAAACCACUCUGCCAGGCCAGGGAACCUAUGUCCCAGCGAUUCAGAGACACCACUGAUUUCGUUGCACCACAGAGGGAACUCCUCUCCUUGUAAUUUUAUUUUGCAUUUAUCUGAUUACUACUUUCCCGUGUUAAAGGGAUAAUUUCAAUAUAAAGCAGUAAAUGCAAAGGCAGCAAAGUGCUAUGUGAGCUCUCAGAGGGGAAGCCCCUUAUCAUUGAGGGUGGGGAGCUGGGCUGGGUUGGAAUUCAAAACUAUCAUCACUAAUUUUACUUAGAAGAGGCUGGGCCUCUUCU
Molecule: long non-coding RNA, 3679 nt
Filed under: Sus scrofa (pig)
Lineage: Eukaryota; Metazoa; Chordata; Mammalia; Artiodactyla; Suidae
Description: lncRNA (ENSSSCG00045018311.1)
Source: RNAcentral